GUCAAUUUCAUAGAGUGAUUAAGGAUUUUAUGAUUCAGGCUGGUGAUUUUGUAAAGGGUGAUGGUAGUGGAUGUGUUUCCAUCUAUGGACUCAAGUUUGAUGAUGAAAACUUUACUGCGAAACACACUGGUCCUGGCCUUCUGUCCAUGGCAAAUAGCGGACCAAAUACCAAUGGUUGUCAGUUCUUUAUAACAUGUGCAAAAUGUGACUAGCUUGACAACAAGCAUGUUGUCUUUGGGG
Molecule: long non-coding RNA, 240 nt
Organism: Glycine soja
Lineage: Eukaryota; Viridiplantae; Streptophyta; Magnoliopsida; Fabales; Fabaceae
Exons: 4
Source: RefSeq, a predicted model, not a curated record